GUUCCUCGCAGGCUCCCGUCGCCUCGCGCGAAAACGAGGGGCGGGAACAGGAAGUAGGGUUAGGCCGAGUUCCGGGUGCAAGGCGGCUACUGAGGACCGGAGAACUGAAGGCUGCGGCUGGAAGCUGGUGAGGCAGUGCGGCGAUGUUCCGGAUCGAGGGCCUUGCGCCGAAGCUGGACCCGGAGGAGAUGAAGCGGAAGAUGCGUGAGGACGUGAUCUCCUCCAUAAGGAACUUCCUUAUCUACGUGGCCCUGUUGAGAGUCAGUAAGUGUCCUCCCGGGCUGUGACCAUAAGACCACCUUGCCGACACCGCCCAGCCACCUCUAGUUCCCCAGGCCGUUGUGAGGCCUUGGGGAGCUAAGCCGAGCUGAGCCGUCACGGGAGCAAGAGGUGUGCGCGUCGAGGGCGACGAUAGUCUAGAGUCUGCGGGUCUGACUGGGGACACCGAAGCGCACGUGGUGGUGCCCCUGCGCACGAGGUUAGCUCAUCCUAGCUCGCCCAACCUCAACAGUGAGUGCAGAGAGCUUCAAAGCUUAUCCUAGAGCAGUUCUCUCAUUUUGGAGACCAAGAAACAGUGCCAAAGGUAGGGAAAUGGCUGGCCAAGGUCAUCCAGCAAUUCGGUGAAUGGGCUUGACCUAGAAUCCGAAGCUCUUAACUCCGUGCCAGGUUUUCCUCCUGUAGUGCCGACCAUUGAAAUGCAAAAGGUUUUGCUUCCUUGCUGUUUAUUUGUACAGAAGGUGAAGUAAAUAAUUGCUUCUGGGGGAAGGAAUGAGAGGAAAACGAGUUUAUAGGAUUGGUGGAAAUAGAAAAAUAUUUGAUCUUUACAGUUGGCAGAAAGUUACAUCCAUUAUUCGGUCUUGACAGUGACUCUUUGAGGAGGGUAGGGCCUAAGAUUCUUUGUAUCCUUUUUGCAAGUGACUGCUCGAUUUUAAAAUGGAACAUAAAGCAUAGGGUUAUAGUACACUGAAUAUAAGAACUGGAAGCAGCUUUAUAGAGCAGUUCUCUAAUUUUAUUGUUGUUUCAGAGAUGACUUGCCGCUGUCACUUCAUUCUUAGUACAGUAUCCUUUUCAUUGUUAUAAAAUUUGUAUAUUGUUGUCUGGUCUGAAUGGAGAGGCAGGGAAAGUCAAAUCACUGAAGGCCAUACCAAGGUCAUGCUGUAGAAGACUUUUGAUAGGCCUAGUCUGAACUCACUGAGGCUGAGGUCUCUCUCAAUUCAGAUGUUUCUUUUACUGGGUACUCUUUCCCUGUAUUGCUCUGCUUCCCCAGGAGAGGGAGCUUUGGGGAAUAGAAACACGGAAAUAAUACUGCUCAUUCAAGAACUUUCAUUCAUUCAUAUAUAUAUAUAUAUAUAUAUAUAUAUAUAUAUAUAUAUAUAUAUAUAUAUAUAUAUAUAUUUUAGUUGUAGGUGGGCACAAUACCUUUAUUUUAUUUAUUAAUUUUUAUGUGGUGUUGAGGAUCAAACCCAGUGCCUCACAUGUACUAGGCAAGCACUCUAGCACUGAACUACAUACAACCCUAGCCCCCUUGAGAACUUUUUAUAACUCCCAAAUGUACUUAUUUCCUCCUAACUUGUUGUUGUUGAUCUAGCUGCUAGUAAAAUAUUUUCUUCUUAAUGAUUUUUGCCUUUAAUUGUAAUUACUUAUUAUCACAUUUUAGGUUGAGACAUAAUUUUGUAUAUGACACAACCAUAUUUAAAGUGCACAAUUCAGUGGUUUUCAGCAUAGUCAGAAGUGUGCAGUCAUCAUCACAAUCAAUUUUAGAACGUUGUCUUUUCUUCUAAAAAAAAAAAAAUACUAUGUCCAUAAUCUGUAACCCUAUUUCCCCCUUUCUCCAGUCCUUGGUGACCACUUAUUUGCAGUUUCUGUAUGGAUUUGCCUUUUAUGGAUAUUUCAUAUAGAGGAAUUAUAUGUGACCUUUUGUGUCUGUUAUUUCACUUAGCACGUUUUCAAGGUUCAUCCAACUUGCAGCUUGUGACAGAACCUUUUUUAUAUAUGAUUAAGGUCCCAUUGUAUGGAUAUACCGCGUUUUGUUUAUCCACUCAUCAUUUCUUGUGGAUUUUUCCCCCCAUUAAGAAUUAGUAGAGAAGGUUGGAUGUACUACUGACUUUAUCAACUUCCAACAGAUCUCAAUAGCUCAGUUUCACAUUAAUAAAAUGUUUUAAGUGUGUAUAUUAAGAAAGAAGUUCAUCUGUUUAUUUUAUUUUUAUUUUUUUAUUUUUUUGUGACCACAGCACUUUUACACAGGACAAUAAUAUCACUUCUUUAAAUCUAUAUGAUCAGGCUGGGGAUGUGGCUCAAGCGGUAGCGCGCUCACCUGGCAUGCAUGCGGCCCGGGUUCAAUCCUCAGCACCAUAUACAAAACAAAGAUGUUAUGUCCGCUGAUAACUAAAAAAAUAUAUAUAUAUAUAUAUUAAAAAUUCAAUAAAUAAAUAAAUAAAUCUAUAUGAUCACAUUUAAUUUUCUAGAUAGUUCUGUGUAUGGCAUUUUGUUAGACCCUUAUAGUAACUGAAUAAGAUGCUGUGAUCUGGAGGGCAUAAGUGAUAUAUAGUUCAUUAAGAGAGAACAAAGUAAAAGUCUUUUUUUUUUUUUUUUUUUACAAGCUCUGCCAAAUUUUAUUAAGAGAAAUUUUGUAUGUUUUACUUUUCAUCAGUCUGUUCUGGCAUGCUUCUAAUGAUAUCAGAAUCACUGGAUCAGUGAUAGACAGUGUGCAUACUCUGUAGUAUUUUCUGCACGCUGUACCCAAUUACAUAUUAUUGCCAAUGUAGUGAUGGACACCAGUUUAUUAUUGCCAAUGUAGUGAUAGACACCAGUUUUGGCCAACAUGGCAUAGAACUCUGUUUCAGAUUUCUUCAAAGCUGGACAGUUGUUGGGGAGGAUGACCAGUUUCACUUUGCCCUGUCUGAUCAUCUUCAGUGUCUGUUUGUAUCCUGGCACAUGCUUUCCACUUUUCAUAACAAGCGGAGUCUAGAGUUGAUUGACUCCAGAAACUUUGUCUUCUUUGCAGCUACCAUUCUCCUGCCUUAAAUGCAGGAUGUCCCCUAGCUAAGAGCAGCCAUCAAGAUGGCAGGAUCAAAUGAGUCUUUAGAGUUCCUUCUACAGUUAAAAUAAAUCACUAAAGUAAAGGAUUGUCAUUUGAAAGACAGCUAGAGUACAUCUUUAUGGCCCUAAGGGGGAGAACUACCUGGAUGAAAAAUUUUGAAUAGAAUAACAAUGAACUUUAUAGUAAUUAUAGUUGAAUGGCACUGAAAUGAGCUGCUUUGGAAGGUGGGGAAUCUCUUGCUUGUUUUUUACAAGCAGAGGCCUUACCAUCAUUUAGGAGUUGUUUUCAAAAACAUGUUCAAUUAAACCUAUAAGGAUCUCCACCCCCAAGUCUUUUCUGACAUGUAGCCUGGGGACUGAUAGACCUGGAAACUAAUUUGGGGUGUUUUGUUUUAUUUAAGCUCCAUUUAUCUUAAAGAAAUUGGACAGCAUAUGAAGAUUGGACAUCACAAGUACAUGCAUGAUAUGAAGAACCUGGUUACAGUUUCUCCUCCUAUCUGCAAAUGAAUGGGCCCAGAAUGGUGUAAGAGACUCUUUGAUUGAAUGGACAUAAAAAUUCUACUUGUUAAGAACAAGUUGGGCUAUGAAUACUGACCUUCAUAGCUAAAAUAUACAACAAUUUGGAAAGUAUGAAAAGACAUCUUGUAAUUAUAGUGUGACCUUAUGCUUGUGAUACUUGGCCUCUGAAUGUUGGUAUGAAUGUAAAUAGUGUCAAACUCCCUUUCAUUAAUUAUAAGGGGAUUAUGUCUGAAAUGGCAUGUCUUGUCAGUCAUUUCUGUUUACAUUUUUACUUCUGUCCAGAGUAUAUUUGUGAAGAGGCCCUUACAAUUAUGUCUUAUGAAGUCAGCACCCAACCACAAUGACAUUUAAUC
RNAcentral lists this long non-coding RNA (3911 nucleotides) under Marmota monax (woodchuck). Lineage: Eukaryota; Metazoa; Chordata; Mammalia; Rodentia; Sciuridae. The record is from RNAcentral.